UUCAAACUUAAAGGUAGCCCAGGAUCUCAUUCAACUUAAAGGUAGCCAGGAUGUCAUUCAAACUUCAAGGUGGCCCAGGUCUCAUUCAAACUUAAAGGUAGCCCAGGUCUCAUUCAAACUUAAAGGUAGCCCAGAUCUCAUUUAACCUAAAGGUAGCCAGGAUCUCAUUCAAACAAAGAUAGCAAGAAUGUCAUUCAAACUUAAAGGUGGCAAGGAUCUUUCAAACUUAAAGGUAGCCAGGAUCUCAUUCAAACUA
Molecule: non-coding RNA, 256 nt
Organism: Biomphalaria pfeifferi
Lineage: Eukaryota; Metazoa; Mollusca; Gastropoda; Planorbidae
Source: the annotation of a GenBank genome assembly